AUGCACGCUGGCGGCGUGCCUCAUCCCUGCAAGUCGCGCGAACAGACGAGGAGCUUGCUCCUCUGACGUUAGCGGCGGACGGGUGAGUAACACGUGGAUAACCUACCUAUAAGACUGGGAUAACUUCGGGAAACCGGAGCUAAUACCGGAUAAUAUAUUGAACCGCAUGGUUCAAUAGUGAAAGACGGUUUUGCUGUCACUUAUAGAUGGAUCCGCGCCGCAUUAGCUAGUUGGUAAGGUAACGGCUUACCAAGGCAACGAUGCGUAGCCGACCUGAGAGGGUGAUCGGCCACACUGGAACUGAGACACGGUCCAGACUCCUACGGGAGGCAGCAGUAGGGAAUCUUCCGCAAUGGGCGAAAGCCUGACGGAGCAACGCCGCGUGAGUGAUGAAGGUCUUCGGAUCGUAAAACUCUGUUAUUAGGGAAGAACAAAUGUGUAAGUAACUAUGCACGUCUUGACGGUACCUAAUCAGAAAGCCACGGCUAACUACGU
RNAcentral lists this ribosomal RNA (495 nucleotides) under uncultured bacterium. Its description in RNAcentral is "partial 16S ribosomal RNA". It matches the Rfam family "Bacterial small subunit ribosomal RNA", at positions 29 to 506 of the family's 1533-position model. The record is from RNAcentral.